Molecule: long non-coding RNA, 993 nt
Organism: Canis lupus familiaris (dog)
Lineage: Eukaryota; Metazoa; Chordata; Mammalia; Carnivora; Canidae
Exons: 7
Source: RefSeq, a predicted model, not a curated record
GGCGGCGCCGGGGGCUUGCAGGGCGGGGCGGGGCGCUGUGUCCCCGCGGAGGGUCCUGCGGGGCUGGCGGUCCCCGGGGCUGCCCUGCGCGCUGCCAGGCCACAGCAGGUGCGCUCCGCGGCAUUCCCUAGGUGGAGAAGGCAGGCAGGCUGAGGUGAGCUGCUUGCACCACCACGCCAUUUGGGAUGCAUUUAGGGGUAUGCAGAGGUUUCUCCUCCGGACCUAGAGUUUUGUCCUUGAUCAGACGCGAGAGAGCUAUUUUAGUGGCAGACGACCACUUCAGAAAGCUUAUCUCAUGGAGAAACUUCCUUUCAUUCUCUUCCCACACGGAAAUGGCCAUUAUUUAACAGAUAAGACAAGCAGAGCAAGAGUAUUCUAUUCCAGUGGUUUUCUGAUUGGAUCCAGAUGGAAAUGCUCAGGUGAAACAGUCACUCAAUGGACAGGAUCUUUCAGGUUGCUGAGCAUCUACUUUGUGUGGAGAAACAAAGACAGGCAUUCACAUGAAGACAGUUGGAGGCUUCCUGGAGGAAUGAGACAGUCUGCCCACUUCAAGUAUCUGUCAUGGGCUACAGGUUCAGAUAUCAGUAUUGUAAUUGUUUCGUAUGACAAAUCGUUUGGCAUAUAAAUCUUGGAGGGUAAGUUUUUGUGAGCUAGAGCAUGGGCAUGGCUACAGUCCAGUUUUAAGCAUGCAGAAAUGGACGAAGGCUGGGAAUAGUGAAACAGUGAGAAGGAAGAAAUCUAUAUCCUUCAGUGACCAUCUGGGGCAGAGCCACUCUACAAACAAGGACUCCUCAUCUUUGUAAGAGUAAGAAAAACAUCUGCUCUCUUAAAGCCACUACUUUAUGGUCUUUUUUGUUAAAAUGGCUUAGCCUUUACCCUAUUUAUCCCGACUUAAAAGAAGAUCCUUUUGUCUAAACAUUAUUGAGAUUCACCUGCAAGAAGUCGAGUGGGAUUAAACACAGGAGGAAGCUAUGAAUAGAUUCAAUUUCUGCC